GUACAGCCUUUGUUGUGCACAUACUAAAAUUGGAACGAUACAGAGAAGCAAAGCAUGACUCCCUGUGCAAGGUUGGCAUGUCUAAUGGUGACGCAUUCACACUUAGU
This is a small nuclear RNA of Salarias fasciatus (jewelled blenny), 107 nucleotides long. Lineage: Eukaryota; Metazoa; Chordata; Actinopteri; Blenniiformes; Blenniidae. The record is from Ensembl.